UCGGGAAUUUUGGGCAAUGGGCGAAAGCCUGACCCAGCAACGCCGCGUGAAGGAUGAAGUAUUUCGGUAUGUAAACUUCGUAAGAAUAGGAAGAAUAAAUGACGGUACUAUUUGUAAGGUCCGGCUAACUACGUGCCAGCAGCCGCGGUAAUACGAAGGGGACUAGCGUUGUUCGGAAUCACUGGGCGUAAAGCGCACGUAGGCGGAUUUGUAAGUCAGGGGUGAAAUCCCGGGGCUCAACCUCGGAACUGCCUUUGAUACUGCGGAUCUCGAGUCCGAUAGAGGUGAGUGGAAUUCCUAGUGUAGAGGUGAAAUUCGUAGAUAUUAGGAAGAACACCGGUGGCGAAGGCGGCUCACUGGAUCGGUACUGACGCUGAGGUGCGAAAGCGUGGGGAGCAAACAGGAUUAGAUACCCCUGUAGUCCCUGAGCGGGCUGGCAAGGCGCAU
Molecule: ribosomal RNA, 447 nt
Filed under: uncultured bacterium
Lineage: Bacteria
Description: bacterial SSU rRNA
Rfam family: Bacterial small subunit ribosomal RNA
Source: RNAcentral